Panthera uncia (snow leopard) is the source of this 2151-nucleotide long non-coding RNA. RefSeq lists it as uncharacterized. Lineage: Eukaryota; Metazoa; Chordata; Mammalia; Carnivora; Felidae. The transcript has 2 exons. The record is from RefSeq and is a predicted model, not a curated record.
CGCCCUGGGGCGGGGGCAGGGACGCCGGGCUCAGAGAAGACGGCGCCGCCACAACGGGGCGGCAGGAAGGCAGGCCGCCUCCGUCCGGCCAGACCCUUCGGGGGGGCUGUUAGGCCGCCCUCCCCCGCGCCCCGCUGUCUUGGGCCAGAGGAACGGCGCCCGAGACCGCCUCGCUGGUUCUUGGCCCCAGUUCUCCUGAGUCGCCCGUUGGCCACGCUACCCCGCGCUCCGAGGAGCUGGCAGAGGGCUCGGCUGCCCGAAGGCCUCCUGGGAGUAGGCUGGGCGAGCAGCUCCUGGCCCGGGCUUCCUUCCCCGCACUCCCAGCCCCGCAGCAUCGCCCCUUGGCGCGGAGGGAGCCCAGCUCCCACGGCUACUGUCUGGGCGAGUCCACUCGGGCUGUCCGGGCAGCGGGGACUGCCUUGGUGUGGGCAGGUGGGGGUGGCUGUACAAAGGUGACAGCAAGCCUGCAAUCUGCCCAGGACUGGGUGGCGGGAGUGGGAGCUUGCUAAGGGCUGACUGCAGUGCUGCUGGGCUGGGUGUCCGGCCUGGGGCCAGCCCUCCGCCUGGACAGCCAGUGGCUCCUGAGACCUGAGUCCAGGAGGGAAGUCAGUCUGGCCCUGAUGGGGAGAUAGGCGCAUUCUGCCUGCCUUCGCUCAUUCAAGACAGCGGUGGCCGUGGAGGCGGGCGUCUGAGAAGCACCAGGGCCCACGUGGAGCUCAGGGCAGCCGGCGGCCUCCGGAGUCUCCACAGCCGGAACAGCACCCAGGCCCCCGGAAAUGGCACCUCCCCAGAAGGUGCGCUGAGCGGCCCGUCGCCCUUCCUUGGGGGGCAGGGCCUCCCUUCACUCCGCUCCCUGGAAGCCAAUCUUCGUGUCCCAUCACUUGGACGCUGCCGGGCCUGACCUUGCCCGGCUCCCUGGCCAAGUGGCCAGAAGCGUCGAUGGCCCUCCUCUGCCCCUGCCUCUCGGGCAGGAGGCUAGCGCGGCUCUCCCGCCGCGCUGAGAGGGCCUCCUGGGCCCGUGCUCUGGGGAAAGGAUGGCAAUACCCCAGGUCUUGCCCAGGGAGCCUGGCAGGGAAAGUCCCUCUUUGUCCCGGGACUGAGUGAUCUGUCCAGGGAGCCAUUGUGCAGCCGGCCACCUCCGAAGGGCAGCGAUCCCCCCAGGCCGACGGAGGGCGCCCCCGGCACUCCCUGCACAGGAACGAGGCCAGGGGCUGCGCCCACCCCUGCGCCCCCACCUCUGGUCCCUGUGGUCGGAGGUGCUCCCUGGUGGAUCCAUUGUCUGUCGAUUGUCUUUUGUUUCUGCUGCUGGCAGAGCGGCCGGGUGCGAUCUGAAACAAAGUCUCCGUGCCCCCGGGGCCUGGCCCCGCUGCGCGUCCCCCCCCCCCCCCCCGCCUGGCCGUUGCAGCAACAUGCAGAGGCAUCUGGGGGGGAACGAGGAGCUGGCCCGAUGCUGUCUGCUGCCUGCCGUCACCCAGGGACCCGCGCCCCGGUCCCCCUCCCUGGGGACCCACGAGAGGCUCCGACUGCAGUGGGGGAGGGGGAGGGGAGGCCACAGGAACCGGUCCCGAGUGAGGAUGGCCUCAGAGGGACCGCCUGGCAGCACUGGGCAUGGGGUCCCGAAGAUGCCCUUGGGCUUGGAAGUCUAACGGCUCCGUGGCCAGACUUAGCCGCAGAGCAGCGUGGGGCCCAGAUCCUGGGGCUGGACAGUGGAGAGCGACAUGGCUCAUCUCUGGCAAGUGCCCCCGGGAGCUGAGGACUGGGGCCGCAGGGCUGUAGGAGGGCUUUGUCCCGGCCCAGCGCCAACCUGAAUUACUUAAAGCAGAAAGUCUGAGUGGCUUCUCUUUCAAAGCAGCCUGGUGCUGGGGUCAGGGUCAGGGACAGGGACGCGCCCCUGGCCCCGGGUCAGAGGUGCCGGGGGCCGCGGCCCAAGGUGAUCGGAGGGGCCUGAGGGCUGCCCCCCACUCCCGCCCGGUCACCGCCUCCCUUCCUGUUUUCCCACCCUCGUGGGCUUGGAAGGAGGCCAGGGAGCAGGAGUUGGGAAGUUUUUCUUUCUCCUCAUUUCAGAAACACGAUGUCAUGUCUGUGAUGCUGAAACGCAUGGGCAGAUUUUAGGGAGGUUUCUGUUAUUAAAAGCGAGAGGCUAUCAAUUCA